UGCCAGCAGCCGCGGUAAUACGAAGGGUGCUAGCGUUGUUCGGAAUUACUGGGCGCGCAGGCGGAUUUGUCAGUCAGGGGUGAAAUCCUACAGCUUAACUGUAGAACUGCCUUUGAUACUGCAAAUCUUGAGUUCGGAAGGGAGAGGCGGAAUUCCAGGUGUAGUGGUGAAAUACGUAGAUAUCUGGAAGAACACCAGAGGCGAAGGCGGUCUCUUGGUCCGAAACUGACGCUGAGGCGCGAAAGCGUGGGGAGCAAACAGGAUUAGAUA
This 270-nucleotide ribosomal RNA is filed under the name uncultured bacterium. RNAcentral's name for it is "partial 16S ribosomal RNA". It matches the Rfam family "Bacterial small subunit ribosomal RNA", at positions 506 to 784 of the family's 1533-position model. The record is from RNAcentral.